UACAGAGGUCUCAAGCGUUGUUCGGAUUCACUGGGCGUAAAGGGUGCGUAGGCGGCGCGGUAAGUCGGGUGUGAAAUCUCGGAGCUUAACUUCGAAACUGCAUUCGAUACUGCCGUGCUUGAGGACUGGAGAGGAGACUGGAAUUUACGGUGUAGCGGUGAAAUGCGUAGAUAUCGUAAGGAAGACCAGUGGCGAAGGCGGGUCUCUGGACAGUUCCUGACGCUGAGGCACGAAGGUCAGGGGAGCAAACGGG
This 253-nucleotide ribosomal RNA is filed under the name uncultured bacterium. RNAcentral's name for it is "partial 16S ribosomal RNA". It matches the Rfam family "Bacterial small subunit ribosomal RNA", at positions 524 to 776 of the family's 1533-position model. The record is from RNAcentral.